UCUGUAGGUGAACCUGCGGAGGGAUCAUUAAAGAGUUAAACAACUCCUAAACCCAUGUGAACCCACCUUUGUUGCCUCGGCAGGUCUGCAACUUACCCUGAGGGGACCUACCCUGUAGGGACCUUACCCGGUAGUUGCCGGCAUAACCUGCCGGUGGUCUACUAAACUCUGUUUACUAUGUUAUUCUGAAUAAUAUAACUAAAUAAGUUAAAACUUUCAACAACGGAUCUCUUGGUUCUGGCAUCGAUGAAGAACGCAGCGAAAUGCGAUAAGUAAUGUGAAUUGCAGAAUUCAGUGAAUCAUCGAAUCUUUGAACGCACAUUGCGCCCAUUAGUAUUCUAGUGGGCAUGCCUGUUCGAGCGUCAUUUCAACCCUUAAGCCCUGUUGCUUAGCGUUGGGAGCCUACAGAUACCCUCUGUAGUUCCUUAAAGUUAGUGGCGGAGUCGGUUUCACACUCUAGACGUAGUAAAUUUUAUCUCGCCUAUAGAUGAGCCGGUCCCUUGCCGUAAAACCCCCUAAUUUCUAAAGGUUGACCUCGGAUCAGGUAGGAAUACCCGCUGAACUUAAGCAUAUCAAUAAGCGGAGGA
This 587-nucleotide ribosomal RNA is filed under the name Xylaria venosula. RNAcentral describes it as "eukaryotic LSU rRNA". The stretch from base 212 to 365 matches the Rfam family "5.8S ribosomal RNA". The record is from RNAcentral. Lineage: Eukaryota; Fungi; Ascomycota; Sordariomycetes; Xylariales; Xylariaceae.